AUGGGGAGCCUGAACCUCGGUCCUUGUCAGGCUGCAGGGAGAAGCCCACACAAGGGUGAUGCCCAGGAGCUCAGCCAGCUGUGCCCAUGGAGGCUGCGUGGGAAGCUGCACUUCCUUCCCGGCCGGUGGAGAUACCACAUAAGGUUUACUUUACACAUAUUCCUUCUGGGGAGAAAAAUCAUCUGGCCGCAUGAAGAGCAGAAGGAAUGCCAAGUGUCAACGAGCUAUAACAAGCAGGGGAGCAGGUGUAAACAGGAGAAACUUCACCAGGAGUUCCUGUUGUGGCUCAGCGGAUUAAGAACCUGGCAUUUUAUCCAGGAGGGUGCAGGUUCUAUUCCUGGCCUCGCUCAGCAGGUUAAGGAUCUGGCAUUGCUGCAAGCCGAGGGUAGGUCACAGAUGCGGCUCAACGGAUCCUGCGUUGCUGUGGCUGUGGCGUAGGGUAGGUUGGCAGCUGCAGCUCCGAUUCAACUCCUGACCCAUAUACAGUAAGGGCGGCCGUAAAAGAAAAAAAGAAAGAAACUUCACCAGAAUUUGAGCCCUGUUUAUUUACCAACUGAGCAGAUAAAUUAUUCUCUCUGUGUCUAUAAAGUAGGUAAUAUCAUAUCUAUUUUAUUGGAAUACUUCCUGUGAAAGGCUUCAUAAAUUUGUGACGUGCUCUGAGGAUGAAGUAGAGGCUGUUUAUCUGAUCCAAGGAGACAAGAGUAAUUGAAAAAAAUCCUUCAUACAAAAAGGAUGUUGGGAGUUCUUGCCCUGGCGCAGAGGAAACGAAUCCGACUAGGAUCCAAGAGGUUGAGGAUUUGAUCCCUGGCCUCGCUCAGUGGGUUAAGGAUCCAGCGUUGCCAUGAACUGUGGUGUAGUUGCAGACGUGGCUCGGAUCUGGUUUUUGCUGUGACUGUGGUGUAGGCUGACGGCUGCAGCUCCAGUUAAGCCCCUAGCCUGGGAUCUUCCAUAUGCCACCGGUGCUGCCCUAAAAAGCAAAACAAAAACCAAAAACCAAAAAGGAUGAUGUACUGUUUGUCUAAAUUUUAGAAGACAAGCAGAGAGGCACCCUUGGUAAAUCAGUAGAACAUCAUUUGCUCAUAACUUUUUUUUUUUUUUUGUCUUUUUGCCUUUUCUAGGGCCACUCCCAUGGCAUAUGGAGGUUCCCAGGCUAGGGGUCGAAUCGGAGCUGUAGCCACCGGCCUACGCCAGAGCCACAGCAACGCGGGAUCUGAGCCGCGUCUGCAACCUACACCACAGCUCACAGCAACACCGGAUCCUUAACCCACUGAGCAAGGCCAGGGAUCGAACCCACAACCUCAUGGUUCCUAGUUGGAUUCGUUAGCCGCUGAGCCCUGGUGGGAACUCUGCUCAUGACAUUUUUUGCCAUAGGAAUUAUGCAGCGGAGGUGGGGGUCAGGUGGGGUGGAGACAGAACCAAGAUGGUCAAGGAUUUUUUUGUGGGAGGGGGUUCCACUGGGCUCCAGCUGGCACAUAACCACAGUAAUGGGUUACAUUGUGCCAUUCCAUUUUCUUCUAAAACUGUAACUUAUGUGACCAAAAAUGUUCCUGGCAUUUUUUGGAUGCAUUUUGAAUCUCCGCACAAUUGAAUGAUUGUCACAAGUUGAAUGAUGAGACCUGGUCUCGAAACAGAACUUGACGGUAAAUCGUCUGGGAUCACAUUGGAAUGUUUUCUUGAUUUUAUGCUUAUUUUAUUGAGUGGCCUUAAUGGUAUUAGGAUUCUUUGUGAAAAUGUUUCUAGAUCCUAUGAAGGAAUAUUCAAAUGAUUUCAUCAUCACUUCUUGUUUUGUGAUUAGGAGAUGCAGAACCUAAAAAUUUAGUAUGCAUAUGGUUAGAUGUGUUAGAAGGGGGCUUGGGUGCAUUGAGAUUGCCUGUUUAAGACUAAAUGACUAAAUUGUGCUCCCCCCCACAACACGUGCACACGCAGAGACACACACACACACACACACACACACACACACACACACACAGGGAAGAGAUGGCAAAUAAAGGAGCAAAUAAUGUAAAUUCUUUAGACGGU
Molecule: long non-coding RNA, 2019 nt
Filed under: Sus scrofa (pig)
Lineage: Eukaryota; Metazoa; Chordata; Mammalia; Artiodactyla; Suidae
Description: lncRNA (ENSSSCG00035062887.1)
Source: RNAcentral